RNAcentral lists this ribosomal RNA (553 nucleotides) under Candida tropicalis. RNAcentral describes it as "LSU rRNA". It matches the Rfam family "Eukaryotic large subunit ribosomal RNA", at positions 87 to 657 of the family's 3401-position model. The record is from RNAcentral. Lineage: Eukaryota; Fungi; Ascomycota; Pichiomycetes; Serinales; Debaryomycetaceae.
CGGCGAGUGAGCGGCAAAAGCUCAAAUUUGAAAUCUGGCUCUUUCAGAGUCCGAGUUGUAAUUUGAAGAAGGUAUCUUUGGGUCUGGCUCUUGUCUAUGUUUCUUGGAACAGAACGUCACAGAGGGUGAGAAUCCCGUGCGAUGAGAUGAUCCAGGCCUAUGUAAAGUUCCUUCGAAGAGUCGAGUUGUUUGGGAAUGCAGCUCUAAGUGGGUGGUAAAUUCCAUCUAAAGCUAAAUAUUGGCGAGAGACCGAUAGCGAACAAGUACAGUGAUGGAAAGAUGAAAAGAACUUUGAAAAGAGAGUGAAAAAGUACGUGAAAUUGUUGAAAGGGAAGGGCUUGAGAUCAGACUUGGUAUUUUGUAUGUUACUUCUUCGGGGGUGGCCUCUACAGUUUAUCGGGCCAGCAUCAGUUUGGGCGGUAGGAGAAUUGCGUUGGAAUGUGGCACGGCUUCGGUUGUGUGUUAUAGCCUUCGUCGAUACUGCCAGCCUAGACUGAGGACUGCGGUUUAUACCUAGGAUGUUGGCAUAAUGAUCUUAAGUCGCCCGUCUUGA